UCUCCUGGAAACGGGUGGUAAUGCCGGAUGUUCCACAUGAGCGCAUGCGAGUGUGGGAAAGGCUUUUUGCGGCAUGGGAUGGGGUCGCGUCCUAUCAGCUUGUUGGUGGGGUAACGGCCUACCAAGGCGUUGACGGGUAGCCGGCCUGAGAGGGCGACCGGCCACAUUGGGACUGAGAUACGGCCCAGACUCCUACGGGAGGCAGCAGUGGGGAAUAUUGCACAAUGGGCGCAAGCCUGAUGCAGCGACGCCGCGUGCGGGAUGGAGGCCUUCGGGUUGUAAACCGCUUUUGUUCAAGGGCAAGGCACGGUUUCGGCCGUGUUGAGUGGAUUGUUCGAAUAAGCACCGGCUAACUACGUGCCAGCAGCCGCGGUAAUACGUAGGGUGCAAGCGUUAUCCGGAUUUAUUGGGCGUAAAGGGCUCGUAGGCGGUUCGUCGCGUCCGGUGUGAAAGUCCAUCGCUUAACGGUGGAUCCGCGCCGGGUACGGGCGGGCUUGAGUACGGUAGGGGAGACUGGAAUUCCCGGUGUAACGGUGGAAUGUGUAGAUAUCGGGAAGAACACCA
Molecule: ribosomal RNA, 564 nt
Filed under: uncultured Bifidobacterium sp.
Lineage: Bacteria; Bacillati; Actinomycetota; Actinomycetes; Bifidobacteriales; Bifidobacteriaceae
Description: bacterial SSU rRNA
Rfam family: Bacterial small subunit ribosomal RNA
Source: RNAcentral